CCAUUCGGGGUACACGAGUGGCGAACGGGUGAGUAACACGUGGGUGAUCUGCCCUGCACUUUGGGAUAAGCCUGGGAAACUGGGUCUAAUACCGAAUAUGACCGCGCAUCUCAUGGUGUGUGGUGGAAAGCUUUUGCGGUGUGGGAUGGGCCCGCGGCCUAUCAGCUUGUUGGUGGGGUAAUGGCCUACCAAGGCGACGACGGGUAGCCGGCCUGAGAGGGUGUCCGGCCACACUGGGACUGAGAUACGGCCCAGACUCCUACGGGAGGCAGCAGUGGGGAAUAUUGCACAAUGGGCGCAAGCCUGAUGCAGCGACGCCGCGUGAGGGAUGACGGCCUUCGGGUUGUAAACCUCUUUCAGCAGGGACGAAGCGCAAGUGACGGUACCUGUAGAAGAAGGACCGGCCAACUACGUGCCAGCAGCCGCGGUAAUACGUAGGGUCCGAGCGUUGUCCGGAAUUACUGGGCGUAAAGAGCUCGUAGGUGGUUUGUCGCGUUGUUCGUGAAAACUCACAGCUUAACUGUGGGCGUGCGGGCGAUACGGGCAGACUGGAGUACUGCAGGGGAGACUGGAAUUCCUGGUGUAGCGGUGGAAUGCGCAGAUAUCAGGAGGAACACCGGUGGCGAAGGCGGGUCUCUGGGCAGUAACUGACGCUGAGGAGCGAAAGCGUGGGGAGCGAACAGGAUUAGAUACCCUGGUAGUCCACGCCGUAAACGGUGGGUACUAGGUGUGGGUUUCCUUCCUUGGGAUCCGUGCCGUAGCUAACGCAUUAAGUACCCCGCCUGGGGAGUACGGCCGCAAGGCUAAAACUCAAAGAAAUUGACGGGGGCCCGCACAAGCGGCGGAGCAUGUGGAUUAAUUCGAUGCAACGCGAAGAACCUUACCUGGGUUUGACAUGCACAGGACGCCGGCAGAGAUGUCGGUUCCCUUGUGGCCUGUGUGCAGGUGGUGCAUGGCUGUCGUCAGCUCGUGUCGUGAGAUGUUGGGUUAAGUCCCGCAACGAGCGCAACCCUUGUCUCAUGUUGCCAGCACGUAAUGGUGGGGACUCGUGAGAGACUGCCGGGGUCAACUCGGAGGAAGGUGGGGAUGACGUCAAGUCAUCAUGCCCCUUAUGUCCAGGGCUUCACACAUGCUACAAUGGCCGGUACAAAGGGCUGCGAUGCCGUGAGGUGGAGCGAAUCCUUUCAAAGCCGGUCUCAGUUCGGAUCGGGGUCUGCAACUCGACCCCGUGAAGUCGGAGUCGCUAGUAAUCGCAGAUCAGCAACGCUGCGGUGAAUACGUUCCCGGGCCUUGUACACACCGCCCGUCACGUCAUGAAAGUCGGUAACACCCGAAGCCGGUGCCUAUCCCU
This 1351-nucleotide ribosomal RNA is filed under the name Mycobacterium sp. Its description in RNAcentral is "bacterial SSU rRNA". It matches the Rfam family "Bacterial small subunit ribosomal RNA", at positions 77 to 1442 of the family's 1533-position model. The record is from RNAcentral. Lineage: Bacteria; Bacillati; Actinomycetota; Actinomycetes; Mycobacteriales; Mycobacteriaceae.